This 61-nucleotide transfer RNA is filed under the name Runcina aurata. RNAcentral describes it as "tRNA-Arg". Lineage: Eukaryota; Metazoa; Mollusca; Gastropoda; Runcinacea; Runcinidae. The record is from RNAcentral.
GCCUAAAAAGCCAAUGGCUUUAAGUUUCGGCCUUAAAAAUGAAAUAAUUUUUCUUUAGGUU